This 1008-nucleotide ribosomal RNA is filed under the name Petchiella siamensis. RNAcentral describes it as "[Petchia] siamensis SSU rRNA". It matches the Rfam family "Eukaryotic small subunit ribosomal RNA", at positions 87 to 1106 of the family's 1831-position model. Lineage: Eukaryota; Fungi; Ascomycota; Sordariomycetes; Hypocreales; Clavicipitaceae. The record is from RNAcentral.
CUGCGAAUGGCUCAUUAUAUAAGUUAUCGUUUAUUUGAUAGUACCUUACUACUUGGAUAACCGUGGUAAUUCUAGAGCUAAUACAUGCUAAAAAUCCCGACUUCGGAAGGGAUGUAUUUAUUAGAUUAAAAACCAAUGCCCUCUGGGCUCUCUGGUGAUUCAUAAUAACUUCUCGAAUCGCAUGGCCUUGCGCCGGCGAUGGUUCAUUCAAAUUUCUUCCCUAUCAACUUUCGAUGUUUGGGUAGUGGCCAAACAUGGUUGCAACGGGUAACGGAGGGUUAGGGCUCGACCCCGGAGAAGGAGCCUGAGAAACGGCUACUACAUCCAAGGAAGGCAGCAGGCGCGCAAAUUACCCAAUCCCGAUUCGGGGAGGUAGUGACAAUAAAUACUGAUACAGGGCUCUUUUGGGUCUUGUAAUUGGAAUGAGUACAAUUUAAAUCCCUUAACGAGGAACAAUUGGAGGGCAAGUCUGGUGCCAGCAGCCGCGGUAAUUCCAGCUCCAAUAGCGUAUAUUAAAGUUGUUGUGGUUAAAAAGCUCGUAGUUGAACCUUGGGCCUGGCUGGCCGGUCCGCCUCACCGCGUGUACUGGUCCGGCCGGGCCUUUCCCUCUGUGGAACCCCAUGCCCUUCACUGGGUGUGGCGGGGAAACAGGACUUUUACUUUGAAAAAAUUAGAGUGCUCCAGGCAGGCCUAUGCUCGAAUACAUUAGCAUGGAAUAAUGAAAUAGGACGUGCGGUUCUAUUUUGUUGGUUUCUAGGACCGCCGUAAUGAUUAAUAGGGACAGUCGGGGGCAUCAGUAUUCAAUUGUCAGAGGUGAAAUUCUUGGAUUUAUUGAAGACUAACUACUGCGAAAGCAUUUGCCAAGGAUGUUUUCAUUAAUCAGGAACGAAAGUUAGGGGGAUCGAAGACGAUCAGAUACCGUCGUAGUCUUAACCAUAAACUAUGCCGACUAGGGAUCGGACGAUGUAAUUUUUGACUCGUUCGGCACCUUACGAGAAAUCAAAGUGC